UACAGAGGAUGCAAGCGUUAUCCGGAAUGAUUGGGCGUAAAGCGUCUGUAGGUGGCUUUUUAAGUCCGCCGUCAAAUCCCAGGGCUCAACUCUGGACAGGCGGUGGAAACUACCAAGCUGGAGUACGGUAGGGGCAGAGGGAAUUUCCGGUGGAGCGGUGAAGUGCGUAGAGAUCGGAAAGAACACCAACGGCGAAAGCGCUCUGCUGGGCCGACACUGACACUGAGAGGCGAAAGCUAGGGGAGCGAAUGGG
This 253-nucleotide ribosomal RNA is filed under the name uncultured bacterium. RNAcentral describes it as "partial 16S ribosomal RNA". It matches the Rfam family "Bacterial small subunit ribosomal RNA", at positions 524 to 776 of the family's 1533-position model. The record is from RNAcentral.